CUUUGGGAGGCCGAGGUGGGCGGAUCACGAGGUCAGGAGAUCGAGACCAUCCUGGCUAACACGGUGAAACCUCGUCUCUACUAAAAAUAAAAAUACAAAAAAUUAGCCGGGCGUGGUGGCGGGCGCCUGUAGUCCCAGCUACUCGGGAGGCUGAGGCAGGAGAAUGGCGUGAACCCGGGAGGCGGAGCUUGCAGUGAGCCGAGAUCGCGCCACUGCACUCCAGCCUGGGUGACAGAGCAAGACUCCGUCUCAAAAUAAACUAAAUUAAAUUAAAUUAAAACAAAAAAACAACCAGUCAAAUGAAGCUGCACUUCCUUAAUGUGUACAAUUUGAUGAGUAUGGACAUAGGCGUAAAUCCACGAUACCACCAUCACAAUCGAGAGAUGCCACGCCCAGAGAGAAGGAAUCUAGAGAGGCAGUCUGACCACAGCAGCCUUGCUGUGAAAGCUUUUUACAGUUUGGAUCUUCUGAGAACAUCAAAGAAAAACUGACCUUGCCAUCCACACUACAGCAAAACUUAAGGACCUUGAACUUUAGGUUUAUCAUCUCACAGCUGAGAAGGGUCCCUCCACACUCUUGGAACUGUACAUCCAUUGGAACCCUUAAGGUUUUAAAUGCUUGCCUGCAGCCAUCUCUAGAAUGGUCUCUCUUCAACUGGAAUGACAAGAGCUGAAAGAAAUCUGCAACCAGGCCAGGCACGGUGGCUCACACGUCUAAUCCCAGCACUUUGGGAGGCCAUGGUGGGUAGAUCAUGAGGUCAGGAGUUCAAGACCAGCAUGACCAACAUUGUGAAACCCCGUCUCUACUAAAAAUACAAAAAAAAUUAGCUGGGCGUGUGGCACGCACAUGUAAUCCCAGCUACUCAGGAGACUAAGGCAGGAGAAUCGCUUGAACUGGGGAGGUAGAUAUUGCAAUGAGCCGAAAUCACACCACUACACUCCUGCCUGGGCGACAAGAGCGAGACUUCGUUUCAAAAAAAAAAAAGAAAGAAAGAAAAAGAAAUCUGCAACAUAACCUAUGAAUGAUGUGCUGAGAUGGGAAACCCAAAAUGAUGGUAAAUCAGAGUGGCACUAAGGCCAUUGUCUCACCAUGGCAACCCAAAAAACAGCAGUCACAGUCUAGGUCUUUCCAGAAAGUAAAUGUAGAGCCCC
RNAcentral lists this long non-coding RNA (1151 nucleotides) under Homo sapiens (human). Its description in RNAcentral is "novel transcript". Lineage: Eukaryota; Metazoa; Chordata; Mammalia; Primates; Hominidae. The record is from RNAcentral.